This 116-nucleotide ribosomal RNA is filed under the name Pteropus alecto (black flying fox). The record is from RNAcentral. Lineage: Eukaryota; Metazoa; Chordata; Mammalia; Chiroptera; Pteropodidae.
GUCUAUGGCCAUGCUACCCUGAACAAGCCCGAUCCCGUCUGAUAACGGAAGCUAAGCAGGGUCGGGCUUGGUUAGUACUUGGAUGGGAGAUCAUCUAAGACCAAGUGCUGUACGUG